UGAGAUAAUAUAUGGUCUCUCGUCCCUUGGGGCCCGAUUGAUACAAAAAAUCUGGGGAAUUUUCCUUUCCGUCCUUAUCUUCUUCCAACUGAGCAGCAAGCUUUCAUCUCACUCAUCUUCUUCUUCGAGUGUUUAAAACGUCUUCUCAACCACAAUCAUCAAUUCUGCAUCGCAUCGGCGUUUUCCUCUACACCGGUGCCGUCUGUUGUUGUGUUCUCUUGCUGAUAAACCGUAGUUUCGCGAGGAUGAUUCUCUCACCGUGAAAUCCAGAGAUAACGGUGACGACGAAUCUGAUGACGGUAAUUGUGAUGACGGACGAUUGCGGAUCUGAUGACGACAGAAAGGAACACGGCGAAGUUAAGGUAGACGUCGAAGUUGUCGAUGCAGCUAAAGAUUCUUGCAACCAUACCACAUGCGGCAAAAACACCAAAGUUAAGAAUUGCUUUUGUUGUUCCUACAACAAUAAGGUUUGUUUCCCGACCAGAAAAGGGUGUGCAAUUUGGUGUCCAACUCGAUAAGCUACAUCAAGGAUUUAAGAAAACCCGAAUAACGAUUUUAUUUAAUUAUUCCUAAUAUCUACUUUUGUUUUAUAUGAAAAACAUGCUCAUCUGAAGACCAAAAAAUACAUAUGCAUAUUGUAUUUGUGUUUAGAAACUUUCAUAUGUUAUUCUAUAUAAUGCACAUAAGUUAAACUUA
Molecule: long non-coding RNA, 696 nt
Organism: Raphanus sativus (radish)
Lineage: Eukaryota; Viridiplantae; Streptophyta; Magnoliopsida; Brassicales; Brassicaceae
Exons: 2
Source: RefSeq, a predicted model, not a curated record